GACGAACGCUGGCGGCGUGCUUAACACAUGCAAGUCGAACGCUGAAGCUCAGCUUUUGUUGGGUGGAUGAGUGGCGAACGGGUGAGUAACACGUGAGUAACCUGCCUCCUUCUUUGGGAUAACGCCCGGAAACGGGUGCUAAUACUGGAUAUUCACUGGUCUUCGCAUGGGGGUUGGUGGAAAGGGUUUUUCUGGUGGGGGAUGGGCUCGCGGCCUAUCAGCUUGUUGGUGGGGUGAUGGCCUACCAAGGCUUUGACGGGUAGCCGGCCUGAGAGGGUGACCGGUCCCAUUGGGACUGAGAUCCGGCCCAGACUCCUACGGGAGGCAGCAGUGGGGAAUAUUGCACAAUGGGCGCAAGCCUGAUGCAGCGACGCCGCGUGAGGGAUGGAGGCCUUCGGGUUGUGAACCUCUUUCGCUCAUGGUCAAGCCGCAACAAUGGUUGUGGUGAGGGUAGUGGGUAAAGAAGCGCCGGCUAACUACGU
This 482-nucleotide ribosomal RNA is filed under the name uncultured bacterium. RNAcentral's name for it is "partial 16S ribosomal RNA". It matches the Rfam family "Bacterial small subunit ribosomal RNA", at positions 28 to 506 of the family's 1533-position model. The record is from RNAcentral.